CAGCUGCCUUGUUAUCACCAGCAACCCCAGCCCUGGUCAGUAUUAUUUCUGCUAUGAAAGGUGUUGAAGCAUGGCCUCACAGGACUUUCAUAAACACUUGGAGGCAGGGACUGUGUCUCAUCAAUUUUUGUAUCUUUGGUACCAUCUAGUAAGGUGCUUUGUACAUAGUAGGUGCUUAAUAAAUGUUUAAAUUUAGUUGUCCUACAGCCCCACAAAGUUAUGCUCCAUUUGCCACCAUGUGAUAUUUUUGGAAAACAAUACUGAUCUGGAUGCCAGCUGUAUAUAACUUUGGGCAACACUCUCCAUCUCUCUUGUCUUCAUUUCCUCUGUAAAAUGAAGUGUGGAUUAGAUGCUCUUUAAGUUCCCUUCCAACUCCAAAAAGUUGCAAGCCUGAGAUUCUAGAUCGUUUCCAUUGUUUCCAAACAUGGGUGAGUAAUGCCUCCGCUCAACUCCAUUUCUCUCCAGAAGACUGUGCAGAGGAAGAGAUCUGAAUAGUCCACUGACAGUUAUUUGUUCCUCUUCAGCAGUUUUUACUGUCUUCAGAAUAGUUCUGGAUGAGCAGCCUUUUCUGAAAGGAUAUUUUAAAAUAUGGUAUAUAAUAUUUUUCUCCUCAGAACCCAUGGGGAAGGAGGGGAGGAAAUGCAAAGAAGGAAACUUAGCACAGUAAACACAAUGUUUUUCAUAGGUUUUUAUUUAAAAUUUGUGUGUGUUUGUGUUUCUGAGCACAUGCUGACUAGGUAACAGAAAAAUCAAUCAGAAGUGCACUAUGCAAUUGAGAGAAGCUGGCCCAGGAUUAAAAACUUCCUAUGGAUUAAUGUGGAUAGAUAGGAAUUGGCCAUACGGUGAAAUGAGAUGGAUAGGAAAUGUGCUUUUUGAGGAAAUUUUAUUUUAGUACCAAAUGUUGCCAGUGACAAUCUUUAGUUAAAAUUAUUCAGACUUAAGAUUCUUAUCCCUGCCAUUUGGGGUUUUUUCAUUUUUUUUUAAACCUGUAUACAUGAAGAAUGUUUAUAUUUUAUGUCUUUAUGUUAAUUCUGUUUCAUCUGUUCAAGGAAUGUGAAUCAGUGGCAUAUUUCAUUGCAUUUAAAAAUGUAAAAUACUUGCAUGUCACCAAUGUGUAAUAUCUUACCAGUUCAGAUGCCUGUAAUGUGUAACCUGAUGUGCACGUGUAUUGUUUUGAAGAGAAUAAAGGAAAUAGUACUUCAGUAAAGUCUUUUACACUUAUAUUGGCAACAUUUAUUUAACUAAGCAGUUAUUGAAAAACUGCACACAGUUUCAUUUUUCAUUUGAAAGGUUUUGAUCAAAGCUAGACAGUUAUACUAGGGAAUUAAAGACUGAUAUGCCCUUUAAAUGUGAAGUUGAAUAUUGUGUGGAAAGUAAAUGUGUGAUAAAGCAAAAUGUAUGGAUUGUGAAGUACUUUUGCCCUGAUAAUUAAUAAGGACCCCAGUUGGCCCGAAUAGUUGCAAUUAUUUGACCCUUUGGAAUUAGCCAGCCAGAUCUAAUGCUAAGGUAAAUGUAAGCUGUUUUAAUUAAUCAAGAUCUUUCUGCUUUCAAAGAUAUAAUUUCAUUUGUGUUCAUUUGUGUCUGGAAUGAUAUUUUCAAAUGAAAAUGUUAAGAACAUUGGGAAUUAAUAAACUUUCCUUUCAAAGAGAAA
Molecule: long non-coding RNA, 1651 nt
Organism: Galeopterus variegatus (Sunda flying lemur)
Lineage: Eukaryota; Metazoa; Chordata; Mammalia; Dermoptera; Cynocephalidae
Exons: 2
Source: RefSeq, a predicted model, not a curated record